RNAcentral lists this small nuclear RNA (102 nucleotides) under Ancylostoma caninum (dog hookworm). The record is from RNAcentral. Lineage: Eukaryota; Metazoa; Nematoda; Chromadorea; Rhabditida; Ancylostomatidae.
GUUCAUUCCUGAACAUAUACUAAAAUUGGGACAAUAAAGGCAAUAUUGGUAUGAAUCCAGCGCUAGGAUGACAAGCAAAUUCGUUAAGCGUUUCAAACCAUC